UGGAACUGCCAUCAAAACUUUUCAGCUAGAGUAUGAUAGAGGAAAGCAGAAUUUCUAGUGUAGAGGUGAAAUUCGUAGAUAUUAGAAAGAAUACCAAUUGCGAAGGCAGCUUUCUGGAUCAUUACUGACACUGAGGAACGAAAGCAUGGGUAGCGAAGAGGAUUAGAUACCCUCGUAGUCCAUGCCGUAAACGAUGUGUGUUAGACGUUGGAAAUUUAUUUUCAGUGUCGCAGCGAAAGCGAUAAACACACCGCCUGGGGAGUACGACCGCAAGGUUAAAACUCAAAUGAAUUGACGGGGACCCGCACAAGUAGUGGAGCAUGUGGUUUAAUUCGAAGAUACGCGCAGAACCUUACCAACACUUGACAUGUUCGUCGCGACUUUAAGAGAUUAAAGUUUUCGGUUCGGCCGGACGAAACACAGGUGCUGCAUGGCUGUCGUCAGCUCGUGUCGUGAGAUGUUGGGUUAAGUCCCGCAACGAGCGCAACCCUCACUUUUAGUUGCCAUCAUUAAGUUGGGCACUCUGAAAGAACUGCCAGUGAUAAGCUGGAGGAAGGUGGGGAUGACGUCAAGUCCUCAUGGCCCUUACGUGUUGGGCUACACACGUGCUACAAUGGUAUCUACAACAGGAAGCAAGACGGCGACGUUAAGCAAAUCCUUAAAAGAUACCUCAGUUCGGAUUGCACUCUGCAACUCGAGUGCAUGAAGCUGGAAUUACUAGUAAUCGUGGAUCAGCGUGCCACGGUGAAUGCGUUCCCGGGUCUUGUACACACCGCCCGUCACACCAUGGGAGUUGGUUCUACCUUAAGGCAAGGUUUAAAACCCUUGACCACGGUAUAGUCAGCGACUGGGGGUGAAGUCGUAACAAGGUAGCCGUAGGGAACCUGCGGCUG
This 893-nucleotide ribosomal RNA is filed under the name marine metagenome. Its description in RNAcentral is "bacterial SSU rRNA". It matches the Rfam family "Bacterial small subunit ribosomal RNA", at positions 616 to 1520 of the family's 1533-position model. The record is from RNAcentral.